ACAGCGUCACAUAACGGGUGUGAGAUGCGACUGGGCGAUGGCUCACAUCGACAUCAAUCAACACAAUGAAGUUGAAUAUUAUGGACAAUUGUUGUAUUGCUUUGUGUUAGCUGAAUGAGAGAAGCGUUGCGCGUGUGUCGGCGGUGUGAUGACGUCAACGGCGCGUUUGUCUUUACUGUAAAUGGUUUGGGUUGUUCCGCAGAUGAUCCAUUGUUCGUGAGCUGAUAUCGCUUAUAAAUGUGUACUUAAUAGAAGAUGAAAGCUAUUUUGUCUUUGUAACUUAGAGAUCUGAAUGAGUGUGUAAUGAUCGGUUAUAAUAUGAGAAAUCUGCUUUAGAUUUGAUAUUAAAUUUGUGCUGAGCAAAAAGUGACAUCCUGUCAUACUAGUAUGCUGGUUAGUAUGUGUUGACAGAGUUUUGGCUGGGGGUCCUAGUGUGUCAGACACCCAGCCACCUUACAGUACAUACAGUGUUUGUUUGUGUUGAUCCCUCCAUGCCUGUUACCUGCUGUGGUUCCCUUUAUCACUGCUCCUCUCCGAGGAGCUUCAUCCAGAAGUCAGGAUUCAGGACUUGUGCGAGCCAGCCGUGUGCCAGCACCUCAUCAGACAGGCUCACUAUGAUCCGGACAGCUCAGAGUUUAGGGGGAGGUGAGGAGAGAGAUGAGGAGCAGGAGGAUGAAGGAGAAGAUCAAAGAGAUGGUGGGAUCCCCUUCAUUAUUAACAGGGGUGGUCUACCCAUAAACGAGGAGACCUGGGAGAUGAUGUGGAGGCACGUCGCCCGGAUCCACCCGGAUGGAGAGGCAGUGGCGAAGAGGAUCCGGGCGACCAGCGACCUUCCCAAGAUUCCAAUACCAAGUGUGCCUACAUUCCAGUCAAACAGCAGCAUUCCCCAGCGUCUGGAAGCCAUACAGAGAUACAUCAGGGAUCUGCAAUACAAUCACACUGGAACACAGUUUUUUGAGAUAAAGAAGAGCCGACCGCUCACGGCAUUAAUGGACAUUGCCAAGGAAAUGACACGAGAGUCUCUACCAAUCAAAUGUUUGGAAGCUGUGAUCCUCAGCAUUUACCUCACCAACAGCAUGCCGAGUGUGGAGCGCUUUCCUCUCAGCUUUAAGACGCGUUUCUCAGGGAAUCACUUCCGUCACAUCGUGCUGGGGGUCCACAGCGCCGGACGCUUCGGCGCACUCGGCAUCAGCCGCCGGCAGGAUCUGAUGUACAAACCGUUGGAGUAUAAAACACUCGCCGACCUCGUGCAGGAGUUCCAGGUGGCGUAUCGGGGCUAUUGGCACACGCUGUGCAAGGUGAAGAUCGGCCAUUACGUGUCACAUGACCCUCACAGUGUGGAGCAGGUGGAGUGGAAACAUUCGGUUUUGGACGUGGACAAGCUGACCAGAGAGGAGCUGAAGAAAGAGUUGGACAGACAUACGCGUGAUAUGAGGCUGAAGCGUUUGACUGGAGCUGCUGUAGAUGUCAGUCAGGAUAGAUGCCUGAAUCCCAAUGAAAACAAAGCUGUGACAUCACCAGAAAUGAUCAAGACUAAAGCCAUUAAACAGAAUGUCAGACUGUCACUUACACAAUUGAUUUCAGAUUGGAAAAGCUGCCCAGUCAUCACCCACUAAAGACAGAAAGAAAGAUGUGGGAUCUCCUCUACGGAAUCCAGGAAGCCCCAUGCGGAAAAACAGCCAAAGUGACAGACGGUCAUCAAUGGAGAAGAAGUCUGGAGCUACAGCAGAUGUUAAUGGAUAUCAGAUCAGGGUUUGAGAAGAUUCACAGAGAGUCAAACACAACAACAACAACAAUCCUCAGACUUGACAAUAAGGAGAAAUCUUCUGUAAAUGAAAAGCCUUUAUAAGGGUACACACUUAAGAAUGUUCAUUACUAAAACUUUUUCUGUAGAAUAGAAACACUUUUAUCAACACUUCCUAUUUAUAUUCAGCCUGAGCUUUUUAACCUUUAACUCAACUAACCACUUACUAUAUGUAGAGACUAGUUUGAAGUUCAUUUAUUGGGUGCCUUUGUAUAAAUUGUAUUUUACCGGUGAUCUGAUGAAGUUGUUCAUCUUCAUCUGAAUUAUUUGCACUUAGAAAGUCAGACAGGAUUGAUUUGUCAUCAUCAUCAUCAUCAUCAGGUUUCAUCAAUGAUCUGAAUCUGAACUAUGAUAGACCAAAUGUUUAUGUGUGAACUGUAGGAGUCUGAAUCAAUGUUUGGUGCGAGCAGCAGGGUUUUUACUGAUCAAUAGAAACAGGGUUUAGUAAUGAUACACCAUCAACGCUGCAUUUAGCAACAUUUCUAUGUGAUUUUUAACACACAUUUAGCUUUAUUAGAUGUUAUACACAUCUGUUAUUUAAUGCCAAUAUAUACAUUAAAAUGUACACUUUAUUAUUCAUUUUUAAAUACAUAUAUAUUGCUCAAAUUAUCUGAGCACAUUAUUCCAAAGCCAAAAUGAAUUUAUCAUCAUUAAAUGUUUCAUUGAUUGAUUGAAUAAGUAUUAAUGUUUCUCUUCUCAUAUGCAGACUGAUUUGCAUGUUAACUAAAGUAAAGACGAUUUAUUAAGGAUUUGCUGAUCUACAGUAGAUGUAGAAUUUGGACAAUAGAUGAUUUGUUUAAUAAUUACAUUUAAAUAUUAGACUAUUAAAGAAAAGAUUUUUAUAUAUAUUAUACACUAAACACUGAGAUGUAGUAGAUUGUAGACACACGAACCCUAUGAAGUGCUCACUACGUGUGUAAAUCUCUCAAAAUAUUGGUGCUGUUAAAUGAGUGUGUCACAGGAAUCACUUAUCAAUCAUUACAAACACACACACACACACACACACACAUACUGUACACAAACUGUAGUAAUAUAGAGUUGAUGUCACCGUACUGUAAUGUAUUGAUUUGUGACACUACUGUAUAUUGAAAUGAAGUUGUUUGUAAAUAAAGCUCAAAAGUGUUUUUCA
Molecule: RNA transcript, 2933 nt
Organism: Paramisgurnus dabryanus
Lineage: Eukaryota; Metazoa; Chordata; Actinopteri; Cypriniformes; Cobitidae
Gene: vash1
Gene name: vasohibin 1
Source: RefSeq, a predicted model, not a curated record